This 157-nucleotide non-coding RNA is filed under the name Salmo salar (Atlantic salmon). RNAcentral's name for it is "Eukaryotic large subunit ribosomal RNA". It matches the Rfam family "Eukaryotic large subunit ribosomal RNA", at positions 2840 to 2976 of the family's 3401-position model. Lineage: Eukaryota; Metazoa; Chordata; Actinopteri; Salmoniformes; Salmonidae. The record is from Rfam by way of RNAcentral.
ACCACAAGCAAGCGUUCAUAGCGAUGUCACUUUUUGAUCCUUCGAUGUCGGCACUUCCUAGCAUUGUGCAGCAGAAUUCACCAAGCAUUGGAUUGUUCCACUAAUAGGGAACGUGAGCUUGGUUUAAACCGUCAUCACCCAUCACCACAUCCCGGUC